UUUGCCAGGGAACUACGAGCUACAGCUUAAAACCCAAAGGACUUGGCGGUGCUUUAGACCCCCCUAGAGGAGCCUGUUCUAGAACCGAUGACCCCCGUUAAACCUCACCCUCUCUUGUAUUUUCCGCCUAUAUACCGCCGUCGUCAGCUUACCCUGUGAAGGGCCCAAAGUGAGCACAAUUGGUAAUACCUAAAACGCCAGGUCGAGGUGUAGCCAACGAGAGGGGAAGAAAUGGGCUACAUUCACUGCUACAGUGAAUACGGAUGAUGGACUGAAACAAACAUCUAAAGGAGGAUUUAGCAGUAAGGGGUGAAAUAGAGUGUCCCCCUGAAACUGGCCCUGAAGCGCGCACACACCGCCCGUCACUCUCCCCAAACAAAUCAUCUUAAUAAAUAAAAGCCUACAAAAACAAAGGGGAGGCAAGUCGUAACAUGGUAAGUGUACCGGAAGGUGCACUUGGAAAAAA
RNAcentral lists this ribosomal RNA (466 nucleotides) under Boleophthalmus pectinirostris (great blue-spotted mudskipper). RNAcentral describes it as "partial 12S ribosomal RNA". It matches the Rfam family "Bacterial small subunit ribosomal RNA", at positions 868 to 1533 of the family's 1533-position model. The record is from RNAcentral. Lineage: Eukaryota; Metazoa; Chordata; Actinopteri; Gobiiformes; Gobiidae.